Non-coding RNA from Meleagris gallopavo (turkey), 665 nucleotides. The record is from RefSeq and is a predicted model, not a curated record. Lineage: Eukaryota; Metazoa; Chordata; Aves; Galliformes; Phasianidae.
UCAUAGGUUUGUUUUCCUGACUUGCCUGCUAUUUGUAUGUGAGCUGCUAUGUUUUUAGUACACAACAGCAUAGGCAUGAAUGCAUACAAAUAUUUUUGUUCAUUUGUUCCAAGACGGUCUGUGAAAAAUGGUAGAUUCCUAAAAGCUAAUUACAGUGAGCUUCCAAAGCAACUGGUUUGUUGAGUUACUAACUGAAAAAUCAACACAACCUGUCUAUAAAUGAUUCUGAAAAGCACAAAUAUAAAUGCAAGUAUCAAUAAAUACUAAUUCUUUUAUUGAAGUACUUUUUAAAACUGGUUUAAUCUUCACAGUGCCUCCCCAGACGCUGGCACAACAAAGAGUGUGUUGCCAUGGGAAGAAGUGCUAUAAUGAGGAAUAUUUGAGCACUGAUAGCUGGAAAUGCAUGUAAUGCUGGAUCUCUUGGCAGUUUCUGUGUUAAUGGUUACAUCACUGAGGUGCCAGAGAGGAGCAUUCAUUUAUUCACAGCAACACAGCAAAUAUUCCAGAGUUUUCUAUCACGGGAGCAUACCUCAUGACUUGUAGCUGUGGAAUCAACAUGUCCUGCAUCUUCUUAACUCCUGCUGUGCUUCUGACACACCUGCUGCCAUGGCCUAUGGGUGCCUGCUGGGCCAGAGGCAGCCACGUACCUGCAUCGGUGCUGCUGU